This 229-nucleotide ribosomal RNA is filed under the name uncultured bacterium. RNAcentral describes it as "partial 16S ribosomal RNA". It matches the Rfam family "Bacterial small subunit ribosomal RNA", at positions 568 to 796 of the family's 1533-position model. The record is from RNAcentral.
UGCGCAGGCGGAAUGAUAAGUCAGUGGUGAAACCCUACAGCUUAACUGUAGAACUGCCAUUGAUACUGUUAUUCUUGAGUAUAGUUGAAGUGGGCGGAAUGUAUCAUGUAGCGGUGAAAUGCAUAGAUAUGAUACAGAACACCGAUAGCGAAGGCAGCUCACUAAACUAUAACUGACGCUCAGGCACGAAAGCGUGGGGAGCGAACAGGAUUAGAUACCCUGGUAGUCC